GCCGUCGUCGACCAGUGGCAGGUCACCUUCACGCAUUUCCAGAUAGAAUUUGCGUCAGAAGGAGCUCGGGGGUUCGACUCCCCCCGACGGCA
Mycena latifolia is the source of this 92-nucleotide non-coding RNA. NCBI's taxonomy places the organism in Eukaryota, Fungi, Basidiomycota, Agaricomycetes, Agaricales, Mycenaceae. The record is from the annotation of a GenBank genome assembly.